Non-coding RNA from Elaeis guineensis (African oil palm), 569 nucleotides. NCBI's taxonomy places the organism in Eukaryota, Viridiplantae, Streptophyta, Magnoliopsida, Arecales, Arecaceae. The record is from RefSeq and is a predicted model, not a curated record.
GAGGGUUAUUCCAUUCGAGUCCUCUACUUCAAUCCUUCAUCCUCUAGCGAAUUUUCAGUAAGCACCAUCAAUCCCACCCUUUGCUCAGGUUCCACCAUUCUUCCUUCCUUGCAUACCACCAUGAUAGGCAUCCAAAGAGCUUGAGAACUCUUUAUCGAGCUGUGAAGGGAGCUCCACAUCUUCUUUGCCGUGGAAGCACAAAAAACUCUUAACCACUGCUAUGAUUUUUUAUGCUAAAUCAGCCGACGAAAGGCAUUAAUGGAUGAUGUAGCAGGUAUUCAAGUUACAGGUACCCACAAUCUACAUUUGCUAGGGUACUUCUAUUUAUCUCUUUCAUAUUACAAGGGUAUGUCUGCAACACAUUAAAAGGAGUGGGGGGUGUAACUAGAACAUGAGGAAGGGGGUGUCAGUUGAACAUUUAAAAAUAUGUAGGGGGUGUAAUCGGUACAACUUGAAAGAUCAUGGUAUAUUUUUUUAGUGAAUAUUUGUAUGCAUUUCAACUUCAACUGUGCUGGGCAUUUGGAAUAUACUUGGAAUAGGAAGCCUUUGGAAUGCUUCCAAUGCAAAAA